This 374-nucleotide ribosomal RNA is filed under the name Pantoea sp. CAS42. RNAcentral's name for it is "bacterial SSU rRNA". It matches the Rfam family "Bacterial small subunit ribosomal RNA", at positions 970 to 1344 of the family's 1533-position model. Lineage: Bacteria; Pseudomonadati; Pseudomonadota; Gammaproteobacteria; Enterobacterales; Erwiniaceae. The record is from RNAcentral.
CUUACCUGGUCUUGACAUCCACGGAAUUCGGCAGAGAUGCCUUAGUGCCUUCGGGAACCGUGAGACAGGUGCUGCAUGGCUGUCGUCAGCUCGUGUUGUGAAAUGUUGGGUUAAGUCCCGCAACGAGCGCAACCCUUAUCCUUUGUUGCCAGCGGUCCGGCCGGGAACUCAAAGGAGACUGCCAGUGAUAAACUGGAGGAAGGUGGGGAUGACGUCAAGUCAUCAUGGCCCUUACGACCAGGGCUACACACGUGCUACAAUGGCGCAUACAAAGAGAAGCGACCUCGCGAGAGCAAGCGGACCUCAUAAAGUGCGUCGUAGUCCGGAUUGGAGUCUGCAACUCGACUCCAUGAAGUCGGAAUCCCUUGUAAUCG